RNAcentral lists this ribosomal RNA (232 nucleotides) under uncultured bacterium. RNAcentral's name for it is "partial 16S ribosomal RNA". It matches the Rfam family "Bacterial small subunit ribosomal RNA", at positions 15 to 236 of the family's 1533-position model. The record is from RNAcentral.
GAUCCUGGCUCAGGAUGAACGCUAGCUACAGGCUUAACACAUGCAAGUCGAGAGGCAGCAUGAAAGGAACUUCGGUUCUUUUUGAUGGCGACCGGCGCACGGGUGCGUAACGCGUAUCGAACCUGCCUCAUACUCGGGGAUAGCCUUGCGAAAGUAAGAUUAAUACCCGGCGGUCUCGGAUGGCCGCAUGACUAUCCGAGUGAAGAUUUAUCGGUAUGAGGUGGCGAUGCGU